UGUUCGUCCUGCCGCGCGGUGCGCAUCGCCCGUGGCCCCCGUUCCUGGAGCCACGCGGGGAGCCCUGGCUAGCAAAGAGUUUUCCAAUAAAUGAGCAUUUCCAGAUUCCCCAGACGGAGCCCGAGGGGAUGAGCUUUGUCAGAAGGGCCUUCCCUGAGGCCUUGCUGUUUCUGCUGGGGACCCGGGGUGCCGAGAACAAGCGAGAGCAGAGCAAAGCGGCCUGGCCUGCUGUGGUGUGGGGGGUGGUGAUGGGCACCCGAGAGGAAGGCCGAACCCACCGUCCCUGGACAGAGACCCGGUGGUGAUCUCCUGGCGGGCGCCCUGGAGGUGGUGACCGUCUAUCUGACCUGCCUCUUCUUCAGGGACACAACCUUACAAGGAAGGACUAUAUCUCCCACCGGUACCUGGAUGUGAAGGCAGGAACAUCAGUGAGACGGUAUAGAAAGGUACUCAUUGUUGAAAAGGAAGCAGCGCCAUUGGACUGAGUGGGAAAAGCCGAAGAUGGGAAGAGUUCGUAAGACGCCCGGAGGGUGCGUGCAAAGGUCCUGACCUUCCCAUAAUUGAGGAAUACGUUUCUGGAGGUGACCGGCCGUGUCUGUCUGUGUUAGAUGCCCUGACUGCAGUGUUCCAGGCAGCACUUCCUCAGGGUCCUCAUGAUUGUUAAAAGAUAUGAUCAUUGUAGCAUUCAUAGUUUUCUGUUGCUGAAGUACACGUUUUAUAACAGCUUCAUUGAGAUAUAAUUCACGUACAAUUCACUGAUUUAAGCUGUACAAGUCAAAUUGUGCAACCAUCACCACAAUUGAAUUUAGAGCAUAUUUUCACUCGGAAGAACUGUACCCACAAGUAGUCACUCCUGACUCCUCCCUGCCCCCAGCCCCUGGCAGUCUCUCAUGGCCCCUUGUCUCUAGAUUUUCCUAUUCUGGGCAUUUCGUGUCAAUGGGAUCCUACAACAUGUGGGCUUUUGUGACUGAUUUCUUUCCCUUUGCAGGUGUCUUCAAGGCUCAUCCAAGUUGUAGCCUGGAUCAGUACUUCACUGUUUUUUAGGGAAGAAUCCUGUUCCGCCGUAUGGUUCGACCACUUUUUGGUGGUGCGGUGUGGGGGGUGGUGGAAUCCAAUUCCAUCAGUUGAUGGACAUUUGGAUUAUGCAUAACGCUGCUGUGUGCGCACUGGUGUCUAAGUUUUUGUGUGAAUAUGUGUUUUCAUUUCUCCUAGGCAUACGGGAAGGAGUGGAAUUGCUCGACCAUAUGACAGCUCCAUGUUGAACCUUUAAAGAACUGCUAGACUGCUUUCCAAAGUACAUGUUUUCAGCAAAGCAAGACAUGGUACCAACGCUACGGCCUUUCAGAAAGUUCUGAUUUUCAUCGAGACCUUCUUGGAGGUGAUCUCUGCAGCCAGGUGCCUGGGGCAGGUGUCCAGGAGGCCCGUGGAAGAGAGUAGAGGGGGCGACCAGGGCAAGGAGAAAAGGACAGGAGGAGGAAGAAAAAGCAGGCAUGGCACUAAGGCAGGGCAAGAGACGGUCGAGCUGCCUUUUAGAGGCUGCCCACUCCUAAGCCUGAAAUCGAUGAAUAUAUUUGUAUUAUAAGUAAUUCUCACAAAUGCUUGAUUGAGGGACGUGUGUCUGGGCUCCACGGGGAGGGCUGAGCAUCGCGUCCUGAGCUGCCGCCUGUGCUUGGCAUGACUCACAUUCGGGGGGGAAGGACGGGUUGCAGAGUGACUCACCUCACCUCUGGCCGCGCUUCUCUACCCGGACACACAGAAGAAUCCCCGGGAAGAUGUUACACACAGCGCUGCCGGGGCCUCACGCCAAGACCCUGAUGGGCCGGUCUGGGCUGGGGCCUGGCGGCAGGUGUGGUUUAAAGGCUCCCAGGGCCCUUAUGCAGCCAGGGUGGGAACCACUGCUGCAGAGACACAGGUUUUUUACUUCAACCUGCAUUCUCGAGACAGACACGGGGGUGACCUCUGGAUGCCCUGCAGAACUUUUCCGGAAGCGCUUCAGAGCCCCAAUUGUUGCUCCUUUCGACGGGUGCUAGAGAAUGAGGGAUUUUGACUGCAGUAUUACUUUGCCUCCUAGUGUCUCUCCUGGCCAGAAGUCGUUCUGUCUUGGGGUCAUAGAGCACACCUGUAGGGACCCACGCGACUCUCUCGGCGGAAGAGGGGUACCAGCUGGACCAGGACCAGGCACGUGUGAAAGCAGCAUGGCUUCUCAGGGAAUCUGGAGGCUGGAGUGGGUUCUCCACCUUGAAUUUGGGAGAGGUGCUCUGCCCACAUUCCUUCCUUCAGAUUCCUGGGCACCUUCGAAGUACCUGCCCUCCACAGCCGGCUCUCCUCACAGCCAGAUGGAGCACUUAAAAAAAUUCAUAGGCCAUCAUUUCCUUCCUCAAAGCUUCCAGAUGGCUCCUCAUCAGACUCGGAAUUAAACUGCAGGCCCUCCAGCCUGCCAAGGCUUCCCCUGCACCCGCCUGCCCAUCCUCUCCCUGCUCUCCUCCCUCCAGCCCUGUGGCCUCGGCUGGCCUCUUCCUCUGGGCUCUGCACCAGCUCUUGCCUCUGCUUGGACCGGCCUUUCCCAGGUGAUCAGUGGGUGCUUUUCUUGCGACCCCACGAGAUGACAAGCCUCUCCAGGCCCCUGGGCCGGCCAUCGGUGCGUGAGUGAGGUCAGCUGUGUGGAGGGGUCCCCAGUAAGACACUCAAGACUGGGAAGGGAUAAGAAUAUAAAGAAAGGAUGUGCUGGGAGGUCUGUACCCCAAAGUUCUCCGGAACAGGUAACUCAGAAGCGCCAGCUCAGCGCAUCUGAGCCUGCACUGGUUCCCUCGCUGCUCAGAGUGGCAGGGAUUUUACGCUUGUGCAAGCAGGUCCUCUCAAAGAAGUAAUUUUCUCUGCAGGACACAGGCUCAGCAGUAAAUUUCCAGGCUUUUACAAGAAGAUGAAAAGUGAGGAUCGUAUGGAAAGUUCUAAUCACACACGAGCAGCUCCAAUCUCUGUCCAUUAAAGAUGCGGCCACGAUGUGACAUAACUUCUCUCUGUCUGUCUGUUCUCUCUCAACUCUGACACGUGCUUCAUGGCAGGUCUACACGGCAGGAAGUAAACUGGUGAUCGUGCAGACAGACACCUUUGGACGUAACACAGGCUUUGUCUCCCGUUUUUAUAUCUUUAAAUGAGAUAUUUUCAUGUUGUAUACAAGAUAUAUUUAUAUCUAAUUUUAGACAAUUUGGAAAUAUAUGGACUAAAGAAAAAGUCACCCGCAGUUCCACCACUCAGAGAAAAGUCAAUAUUUUUUAUCUUCCUGCGUGGGAAUACUUUGAAAUUUUUAAACUUUUGCUCGUGCUUAUGAAAGCCAUACAUCCUCAUCAUAGAAAUUUUGGAAAAGGCAGAAAACUGUAACGCAGCAGAGAAAUAGGUCAUAAUAUAGGAAGAUCUGUGGGGGAAGAGUAUUCCACCACAACACACGUGGGAGGCAGAAGCGAGGGCUGGCUGAGAACCCCGGAAGGAAAAGACACAAAAUAGAAACAUCCCUCCAGGGGAGUUCCCUGGUGGUCGAGUGGUUAGGAUUCUGGGCUUUCACUGCUCUGGCCUGGUUUCAGUGCCUGCUUGGGGAACUGAGAUCCCACAAGUUGGGGGGCGGGAAACAAGGGCCUGAAAGGAGCGACGCUGACGCCUCUGAGCAUCAGCUGCUGGAACUGCCAGGACAACGUCUGACCAGCAGGGUGACCAGGGUGGUGACCGUGAGGGGCUCUGAGGCGGGGAGAAGGGUGGAGGGCAGCGUGCGUGCGUGCGUGCGUCUGAGCAGGGGACGGCGGAAGGAGAGGGGUCCUGCUUGCACAGACACUCAGGGUGGAGAAGGCCAAGGGGAAGGACAGGGAGUGAGGGGCAGUGGAGGCUACAGAGGCGGCCCCUGGGGGGCCCGGAGGGGCCGGAGGCUGCCGCCUCGGGGCAUCCUGCAGGUGCUGAGGCCCUACAUCAGGCCCUGGGGUGCAGGUGGCCUUCUCUGCGGCCUGGAGGGACUGUCUUGGCCGUAAGUCACAGCUCCUGUGCGCCAACCGGGACACCAUCUACCCAAGGAGACCCAGGCAGGGUGACGCGAGGGGCGUGGGGAGGCGUGGGCUCCCCCAAGUUGGCUCUUUCGAGAACGUGGUCUCGUGGGAAGUAUGAUGCUGGGAGUUCACAGCAUCCUGGUUCCAACCCAGCUUCACCCUGGCCGGCCUUACCUACUCUUCUGUUUAUCUUGUUUUUGUUUGUUUGUUUGUUUUAAAGAGAAAUCAGUGCCUGCCCUGCUUACCCGUCAGGAGAAAUAUAAGAAUAAAAUGAAGCGGUGAACACAAAAGACUGUUCCUGUUACUUACAGGAAUGUUCUGUGGCCGAUCCCCACGCACCCUUCAGAUCUGUUGGUACCGCACUCCCUCCAGGAGCCUCCGGGACCCCCAGAUGCGUGAGGCGCCCCCAGUCUGAGCUUCCGUGGCGUCUGACUGGCCGUCAGUGGACACCUCUGGCUGAGCUGGUGCCCGGGGCCGCCUGGUCCCUGCCCCCCACCCCCCGCCCCAGCCCCCAGCCAGUCUUUGCUGGCUGAACGAGUGAGUGAGUGUUGCAACAGUUCCUCGUUUGCUUUAUACGUAAGGAAACCAGGGAUGGAGAGAGAGAGAGCUGAAGGAAGAAAGCAGGAGACUCGGGCUCCUUGAGGCACCUUUGCACCCUGGACUCGCCACCUUCCGCUGAAAACUGCCCCACGAGCUUUUAGCACUAAUGGCCCUGCGUUCUAAAAUGAGGAGCAUGCUUCUUGAAUCUCAUCAGGAAUAUUUUCAGGAAAGAAACAAACGAAGAUUUGGGUAGGUGAAAAAAAAAGUUUGUAUUUUCUUUAAUAAAA
Hippopotamus amphibius kiboko is the source of this 4855-nucleotide long non-coding RNA. RefSeq lists it as uncharacterized. Lineage: Eukaryota; Metazoa; Chordata; Mammalia; Artiodactyla; Hippopotamidae. The transcript is spliced from 4 exons. The record is from RefSeq and is a predicted model, not a curated record.